This 414-nucleotide long non-coding RNA is filed under the name Elaeis guineensis (African oil palm). Its description in RNAcentral is "long non-coding RNA (EGUI_LNC031500)". Lineage: Eukaryota; Viridiplantae; Streptophyta; Magnoliopsida; Arecales; Arecaceae. The record is from RNAcentral.
ACUGAAUCCAAUUCAAUUGGACUUGAUCCAAAAAUAAUUACUCAAUCAAAUUAAGUUAAUUAGCGAUCAAAUCACUAAUAAAACCUCUCAUAAUUAUUGAGUCCAAAUCCGAUGGGCAAUCGGAUAUCAAAGUCCAUCAAUAUGAAACCUUGAUCGAAGAGUUCAAAUUUCAAAUUCAAAAUUUAAAAUUCAAAAUUUUGAUCCUGGUACCCAAAAUGUGUGGAACUCAUGAUCAGAGAAUCUUAAUUCUCAAUCAUAGAGUCCCAGACACAUAAGACUCAUAAUCAGCCAUCAGAUCAGAAAGGAACCUCUAAUGUGUGUGACCCCGCAGGUUCGAACCUAAGCCAGUAGCACAAGAACCAAUUCCUGUACUAAUCGAAGUGACCAUCUAGCAAUGGUACCCGAUGAUCGGAU